UGGAUGUGAGAUAGAUAGGAGAAGGAAGUC
Molecule: non-coding RNA, 30 nt
Filed under: Mus musculus (house mouse)
Lineage: Eukaryota; Metazoa; Chordata; Mammalia; Rodentia; Muridae
Source: RNAcentral